RNAcentral lists this long non-coding RNA (293 nucleotides) under Lathyrus oleraceus (garden pea). Its description in RNAcentral is "Pisum sativum (pea) long non-coding RNA (PSAT_LNC001673)". Lineage: Eukaryota; Viridiplantae; Streptophyta; Magnoliopsida; Fabales; Fabaceae. The record is from RNAcentral.
UCAUUUUGUGUAUAAUUGUACCCUUCCAAAUCACAUAACAAAAUUUUAUUCAUUAAUAAUCCAUAUCAUUACAACCAUAAAUCAUACACUCAUUUUCAAAUCCGUUCACAAAUAUACGUCAUUACAACAUUUCAAAUUACAAAAAUAAUCAUUACAUAAUCGUACAUAAACCAUAUUCAAGGUAUAAUCAUAUGGAUCUCUAAGUUCGACUACGAGCUACAAGAGUUACAAAGAUUACAACAAUCCCAUAGUCCAAAACUUGAGAAAUUCCGAGCAUUCCAUCAAACAUAUCC